UUUUUUUGAACGGUCACCGGGGGGGGAGAGAUUCCCCACCUGAAUAUAUUGCUCAAAGUGGCCAAAAUGCCAAGUGUUUGAUCCAGUUUAUAAGAAAAACCGGAUCGAAAACCUUAACAGGUUGACCCGGUUUAUAAGGGAAACCGUGCCGAAAAACCACACAGGGGGGAAAGAUUACAUAGGGUGAGAGCAUAUGGACGCCCCGAAGAAAGCACUACCUAGCCAGCAAGCCAAGAGACCACCACCAUAAAAGUCGAGAGGAAGUGGUGUGUCAUCGAGGAAACACAAUACCAACACUAAACAACUAUCCUAACGCACCACACCUGCAUGCAUACCAACCCCUUGGCACAACAGAGGAGCAACACCAAUCAACGAGUGACCCAUCACGAACCUUGACUGGAAACUCCGCCACAGCAAGCCGACACGAUUAGCAAGGUGGGGAGGCAUCGUUGCGUCGUUGUUGAGCAAAGAUGAACCGAGAUAGCACGAAGAGCACGAAGCUCACCAAAACGGACGACAGGCAUGAGAGGGUCUUGAGCUAGCAGAGCAGAGGAUGACCAAUCCCCAAGGGCAACGAAGGAUGAAUGGCGGCAAGGAGCUCCCUAGUGACGCCUUCAAGAAGGUGGACGACAUCCGAGGAUGACGCCGUCACAUAGCUUUCGCCUGGAGCAUAACCGGUUAAAUUCCCAGAGGGCAGAGCCGAGAGCUGCGAAUCCGGACCGAGAGACAAGAGUGGCACAUGAGCCACGCCCCAAGAGGGUAAGCGACGCUGGAGUAGCGCCGCCGUGGUCAGCUGACAAGGUCAGCGGGGAUUUCUCCCGUAGCACAUCUGUCAAUGGUGGGCCGCCAUCCAAGUGGAGUCGAAGGGCGACAGAGGACAGGACCGAGACGGACAUAUGAGGCGGAUGGUGAACCGGGGAAGGACGAGUGGAGCAGGCCGCCGGUGGGGAGGGUGGAGACGAGGUGGUGCGUCGUCGGAGGUGGACAGAGGGUGGGGGAGCAUAGGAGGGUCGACGCGGAGGAUGGUGGCGCAGGUCGAGAGCGGCGAGCCCCGGCCUGAUCUGAACGGUGGAGGACGCCGAUGGGCAUGAUGGAAGUGGACUCCGCGCGGCGGUGCGAGAUGGAGCGAGGCAAGAGCUGGUCGGGGCAUGGAGGAGCAAGACCCGGCAUGGAGCCAAGCCGCGCUGGUGCAGGCCAUGCGCAAGAGGGGAAGGUUGAAUCCCAGAGCAGCGGAUGCAGAUCUAGAGCCGAGGCACACAGCUCGGUGCUCGGGGUCGUGGAGCAGAGGCUUGGAGUCGAGGCGCGGGGGAGCUGCGGUGAAGGCGGAGCGCGGCAGGCGAGCUGGAGGGAGGUCGAGGGAGCCCGUUGGAUGCUAGCACGGCGAGCGGCGGCGAGGACCGUCCGCGGCAGAGCAGAUCAAAGCUGCGCUCCCGGCCCAGUCGGAUGGAGGUCGAGGAAGGAUGGGGAAGACCGGCGGAGCCCAUCGCGCCGAGCAGCGACUAGCGCCGGCAGGAGCCGAGCAGAUCGAGGCGGCGCACAGUGAUGAAGCUUUUGGAUCUUGGGGAGGGGGAAGCCUGCGGGCGUGAGAGCAGCCCAAGCAAGGCCCCGCCGCCGCCGUCCGUCGCACAGGGCUUAGCCCGGCGACAUCCUCCGGCGACGGCCAGGGAAGGGAGCGGUGGUGGGGGGUUGGUUUGGUGGUGGCGGCGAGGGGCCUCCGGAGUCGCCACGAGCGACCCGGGAGGCAGCUUGAAACUAGCCCCGUCCCCUAGAG
RNAcentral lists this long non-coding RNA (1771 nucleotides) under Triticum aestivum (bread wheat). RNAcentral's name for it is "long non-coding RNA (TAES_LNC006735)". Lineage: Eukaryota; Viridiplantae; Streptophyta; Magnoliopsida; Poales; Poaceae. The record is from RNAcentral.